AACGAACGCUGGCGGCGUGCCUAACACAUGCAAGUCGAGCGUGAAAGUCCCUUCGGGGGCAAGUAAAGCGGCAGACGGGUGAGUAAUACAUAGGUAAUCUACCUUCGAGCUUGGGAUAACCCCGCGAAAGUGGAGCUAAUACCGGAUAAGACCACGUGGCAUACGCUACGGGGUAGAAGGUGGCUUGUAUUUAUACUGGCUAUCACUUGAGGAUGAGCCUAUGGCCUAUCAGCUUGUUGGCGGGGUAAGAGCCCACCAAGGCUAUGACGGGUAGUUGGUCUGAGAGGACGACCAACCACACUGGGACUGAGACACGGCCCAGACUCCUACGGGAGGCAG
Molecule: ribosomal RNA, 339 nt
Filed under: uncultured Pseudomonadota bacterium
Lineage: Bacteria; Pseudomonadati; Pseudomonadota
Description: bacterial SSU rRNA
Rfam family: Bacterial small subunit ribosomal RNA
Source: RNAcentral